UACGGAGGGUGCGAGCGUUGUCCGGAAUUACUGGGCGUAAAGGGCGCGUAGGCGGCCUGCUAAGUCGAACGUGAAAUCCCCGGGCUCAACCCGGGAACUGCGUCCGAUACUGGCAGGCUUGAAUUCGGGAGAGGGAUGUGGAAUUCCAGGUGUAGCGGUGAAAUGCGUAGAUAUCUGGAGGAACACCGGUGGCGAAGGCGGCAUCCUGGACCGAUAUUGACGCUGAUGCGCGAAAGCCAGGGGAGCAAACGGG
RNAcentral lists this ribosomal RNA (253 nucleotides) under uncultured bacterium. RNAcentral describes it as "partial 16S ribosomal RNA". It matches the Rfam family "Bacterial small subunit ribosomal RNA", at positions 524 to 776 of the family's 1533-position model. The record is from RNAcentral.